Molecule: non-coding RNA, 530 nt
Organism: Punica granatum (pomegranate)
Lineage: Eukaryota; Viridiplantae; Streptophyta; Magnoliopsida; Myrtales; Lythraceae
Source: RefSeq, a predicted model, not a curated record
UUUCCCGACCGGUAGAAACUCCACUCGAGCUCGGGAAGAAGAAAAUUUCUCUUUCGGCAGAGAGCGAAAAAGAGAUUGAACGUAGAGAAGACGAUUCGGUUUGAUCAUAGAGGGCUGAAGAUGGCGCUGUUCAAGAAGGGGCAGCCGUUGGUGACGAAGCUGGCGACGCUGGCUGCGUACGUAGUGUUCCCGGGGGCCAUGGCCGCCGCCGUCAUCUACUCACCCCCCGUCUACGCGAGAUCCAACAAAUCAUCCUCCUCCUCCUCCAAGUGAUCCCUCACUUCUCCGGUGGGCAUCCCAACCUGUCCAGCAUUUCUCGUUCAGAACCUGCUUGCGGUCUACUUUAGCAACAUGGUUUGUAAUAAUGCUCGUGGACAUGAAAGGUUGCCGUGCAGUCCUGUUGAGAGUUGAAACAGUUGCUGAUUUUUUCCAGCUACAAGGAUUGAAUUUGUCUUGUUUAGACUUUAGCCUGUACCUGCACACCUCUCUUGUCCAAUUCAAGAAUCAAGAUCGUCUUAUUUUGCUUCUCA